Molecule: ribosomal RNA, 583 nt
Filed under: Bacillus sp. (in: firmicutes)
Lineage: Bacteria; Bacillati; Bacillota; Bacilli; Caryophanales; Bacillaceae
Description: bacterial SSU rRNA
Rfam family: Bacterial small subunit ribosomal RNA
Source: RNAcentral
AAUGCAGUCGAGCGGACAGAAGGGAGCUUGCUCCCGGAUGUUAGCGGCGGACGGGUGAGUAACACGUGGGUAACCUGCCUGUAAGACUGGGAUAACUCCGGGAAACCGGAGCUAAUACCGGAUAGUUCCUUGAACCGCAUGGUUCAAGGAUGAAAGACGGUUUCGGCUGUCACUUACAGAUGGACCCGCGGCGCAUUAGCUAGUUGGUGAGGUAACGGCUCACCAAGGCGACGAUGCGUAGCCGACCUGAGAGGGUGAUCGGCCACACUGGGACUGAGACACGGCCCAGACUCCUACGGGAGGCAGCAGUAGGGAAUCUUCCGCAAUGGACGAAAGUCUGACGGAGCAACGCCGCGUGAGUGAUGAAGGUUUUCGGAUCGUAAAGCUCUGUUGUUAGGGAAGAACAAGUGCAAGAGUAACUGCUUGCACCUUGACGGUACCUAACCAGAAAGCCACGGCUAACUACGUGCCAGCAGCCGCGGUAAUACGUAGGUGGCAAGCGUUGUCCGGAAUUAUUGGGCGUAAAGGGCUCGCAGGCGGUUUCUUAAGUCUGAUGUGAAAGCCCCCGGCUCAACCGGGGAGG